This 614-nucleotide ribosomal RNA is filed under the name Salmonella enterica. RNAcentral describes it as "partial 23S ribosomal RNA". It matches the Rfam family "Bacterial large subunit ribosomal RNA", at positions 2190 to 2803 of the family's 2925-position model. Lineage: Bacteria; Pseudomonadati; Pseudomonadota; Gammaproteobacteria; Enterobacterales; Enterobacteriaceae. RNAcentral also lists the same sequence under 2 other names. The record is from RNAcentral.
CCUUGAAAUACCACCCUUUAAUGUUUGAUGUUCUAACGUGGACCCGUGAUCCGGGUUGCGGACAGUGUCUGGUGGGUAGUUUGACUGGGGCGGUCUCCUCCUAAAGAGUAACGGAGGAGCACGAAGGUUGGCUAAUCCUGGUCGGACAUCAGGAGGUUAGUGCAAUGGCAUAAGCCAGCUUGACUGCGAGCGUGACGGCGCGAGCAGGUGCGAAAGCAGGUCAUAGUGAUCCGGUGGUUCUGAAUGGAAGGGCCAUCGCUCAACGGAUAAAAGGUACUCCGGGGAUAACAGGCUGAUACCGCCCAAGAGUUCAUAUCGACGGCGGUGUUUGGCACCUCGAUGUCGGCUCAUCACAUCCUGGGGCUGAAGUAGGUCCCAAGGGUAUGGCUGUUCGCCAUUUAAAGUGGUACGCGAGCUGGGUUUAGAACGUCGUGAGACAGUUCGGUCCCUAUCUGCCGUGGGCGCUGGAGAACUGAGGGGGGCUGCUCCUAGUACGAGAGGACCGGAGUGGACGCAUCACUGGUGUUCGGGUUGUCAUGCCAAUGGCACUGCCCGGUAGCUAAAUGCGGAAGAGAUAAGUGCUGAAAGCAUCUAAGCACGAAACUUGCCCCGAG